This 474-nucleotide ribosomal RNA is filed under the name Escherichia coli. RNAcentral describes it as "partial 23S ribosomal RNA". It matches the Rfam family "Bacterial large subunit ribosomal RNA", at positions 1 to 505 of the family's 2925-position model. The record is from RNAcentral. Lineage: Bacteria; Pseudomonadati; Pseudomonadota; Gammaproteobacteria; Enterobacterales; Enterobacteriaceae.
GGGUUGUGAGGUUAAGCGACUAAGCGUACACGGUGGAUGCCCUGGCAGUCAGAGGCGAUGAAGGACGUGCUAAUCUGCGAUAAGCGUCGGUGAGGUGAUAUGAACCGUUAUAACCGGCGAUUUCCGAAUGGGGAAACCCAGUGUGUUUCGACACACUAUCAUUAACUGAAUCCAUAGGUUAAUGAGGCGAACCGGGGGAACUGAAACAUCUAAGUACCCCGAGGAAAAGAAAUCAACCGAGAUUCCCCCAGUAGCGGCGAGCGAACGGGGAGGAGCCCAGAGCCUGAAUCAGUGUGUGUGUUAGUGGAAGCGUCUGGAAAGGCGCGCGAUACAGGGUGACAGCCCCGUACACAAAAAUGCACAUAUUGUGAGCUCGAUGAGUAGGGCGGGACACGUGGUAUCCUGUCUGAAUAUGGGGGGACCAUCCUCCAAGGCUAAAUACUCCUGACUGACCGAUAGUGAACCAGUACCGUG